Molecule: long non-coding RNA, 997 nt
Filed under: Felis catus (domestic cat)
Lineage: Eukaryota; Metazoa; Chordata; Mammalia; Carnivora; Felidae
Description: lncRNA (ENSFCAG00000052144.1)
Source: RNAcentral
AACAUGUAGUCAAUAUUUUGUCAUAUUAGUGUUAAUAUUUACAGAUAAGGGUUGUUUUUGAUCUGGUUGUAGGUCAUCCACUGUUUUUCUGACAUAUACCUCCAGGAGCCAUGCUGAUGAGUGGGGAGCUAAUCCCUUCUUCAGAACACAGCUCAUUUUCAAGUGGCUGCUGCUGUUUCUCCCCCACCCCUUCAGUGCGACAGCCUCAGAGCUGGUGGAAAGGCAGAGCGCAGGCAGCUGGUAAGUAGCUGAGAAAUCUUUUGUAAAAUAGAUCCCCAAAAUACGCUUUGCAAAGUGAACAACAUGUUUUGAUGGAGUAGAAUAAUACAGAACGAUCUAGGAAUCCCUGAUUCUAAUCACCAGUAUUUGGAAAAUGGAUUAAUUAAAUUCUAAAUAUUCCACAGUCACGUUACUAGUUUAAAGCUUGUGUCUUACAUGGUAAGUGGGCCGCCGGAGGGAAAUCUAGAAACGGCCCCUUGUGAUUCUGGUAAGAUAUUUCCCAACAUAUGACUUGAUGAAGUUGUUACCAAGAUGAGAAAUUGUGUUCGGAACAGUAUCUCAGCUUUAUGAUGUUUGGAUGAGGCUUGAGAAAAUGGGUUACGAUUCAAGAUGUUCUCAGAUCUGAGUUCCUGUCCCAGUGUGGAAAGAGUAUGAGAAAACUGUUACUUGGCAAUGGGAAGGAUACCAUGCCUCAUUUUUUUUUUUUUUAAUUAAGAAAAUCAUGUGACUGGAUGUCUGUACAGGAGAGAAAGUGAGGAGGGCAGCCUGUAACGUUCGGCUUAAUUGCUUCAUGUGAGAGACGAACAUGUGUUGAAGGGGAAAGAUUAAAAGUUGGUUUUAGGCUGAAAAAUCGUGAAAAUGAAAUAAUGAAUAUUGUGGCUGUGCCUUUAUUUUGAAAAUCAUCUAUUUGUCCUUGUGGACAUCAAUUUGUACUGUAAAGGCAGAAUAUUCUCAGUGCCUCUUUAUUUCACAAGGGAUGGAAGAAGGAUACCAGAGA